UACUCGAUAGGUCUUUCGUCCUUGCCUU
This 28-nucleotide non-coding RNA is filed under the name Bombyx mori (domestic silkworm). Lineage: Eukaryota; Metazoa; Arthropoda; Insecta; Lepidoptera; Bombycidae. The record is from RNAcentral.